Molecule: long non-coding RNA, 347 nt
Organism: Helianthus annuus (common sunflower)
Lineage: Eukaryota; Viridiplantae; Streptophyta; Magnoliopsida; Asterales; Asteraceae
Exons: 3
Source: RefSeq, a predicted model, not a curated record
CUUUGAUUUUUUUCGAUUUCAUCAACUAUCUUACAUAUUCAGAUGAGAUUCAUAAGGACGACAAUGUUUUGAUGCUUUCUUCAUCUUCAUGUAAAUGCUAUUUGUUUCAUGUUUCCAGAUUUGAAGAGAUCGAUUUGUUUGCUGUUUAAUAAUGAUUUACGAUGUGUUUUGUCAUAUCUAGGGUUUGCUUGUGGUCUUUCGUAUCCGUCAAAACCCUAAUCGACCGGAGAAAUCGUCAAAAGUUCUUCACAAUAUGAUCGUUCCACAUAAUUUGCAGAUAUGCAUCCCUUGCACAACAGUCCUUCAUUUUUAAAGCUUAUUGAUGAAGAUGACCCGAUAUUUUUGGU